RNAcentral lists this ribosomal RNA (1140 nucleotides) under Triticum aestivum (bread wheat). RNAcentral describes it as "partial small subunit ribosomal RNA". The record is from RNAcentral. Lineage: Eukaryota; Viridiplantae; Streptophyta; Magnoliopsida; Poales; Poaceae.
AUGGGUAUGCAGACUCUGAUGGAUAUCCGGUGCAAGAAUCUAGUGAACCCUGUAUGCGACUGGCUUGGUGAGAUUUACGACCCCGCCUCCAGGGAAUUUGUGAUUCCGGGACGUGGAAGACUGCCGUUGGACGAGGAAUCUGUGUUCUGCACUUUGGGUGUGCCCCAUGGAGAAAUCAAACUCCCGUACGAGGUCAAUAAUAAGAUCGAGGAAAUGUUGUUCCCCCGUUUGUUUCCUGGGUUGGAAUCCAUGCCGAACACGACUUUCCUGGCAGAUUCGCUGCAGGUCAUGACAACCCAUGGCGAGGUUUUUAAGAUGAAGCUACUCAUGUACCUCAUCUCAGCUGUUUUCGCGCCGACCACUUCUCUUCGCCCAAGCAACAAAUGCUUCCCCAUCCUGGCGAAACUGAAAGAUGUGAAGAACAUGAAAUGGUGUAAGUUCAUCGCCGACUUCCUGCAUGAUGCAUUCUCAAACAAGAUGUACCAGAAGGGUUGUCGACUGCAUUUAAUGCUCAUGUACGUCGACUAUCUUGAUCUGUCUACCGUGGACUUCACUGGGACAGGAGGCCCGCCGCCAACACACAAGUUUGUUGUUUCUGCGUGGACUUACGAUGCUGUCAAGGCUGUGCUUGCUGCAGACAGGGUAACUGAUACCAAAUAUGGAAAACUGCAGCUGAUGGCCAAGCAUGCUAUAGACUACAGCGUGUUUGGGGGGCCUCAAAACUUUGGAAUGUGGAUGGACGUGCACUCAGCUCCGUCUUGCCCUACUGAGGUGAGGGCACCUGUUGAGCAUCUAAUUGGGCAGAUUGCAUCCGGAAUGACCAGCUUGCUUGGGGAGUUGGUUGAGGGUUGGACGUCCCUAAAUGGCUCUGACAGAGACGCGGUUGCGAGGCAGUUCACUACAUUUGUUGCAGAACGGACACAUCGGCUAACUGGUUGCCGUGGCCGGUACGACUACAACAGCUCCCAAGAGCUUGCUAACACACAAGAUGAACUAGAUGGAGAUGCUGCUCUCAACAAGGACGAUGACGAUGACAUGGAGAACGUGCAGCACGACACCGAUGAUGAUAAACAUGUUGAAGUUCGUGCAGGUGGUAAGAAGGGCAAGGCUGCACCAGAUGUCCCCUCACCGGAGAAAGUC